Molecule: non-coding RNA, 145 nt
Organism: Gossypium hirsutum (cotton)
Lineage: Eukaryota; Viridiplantae; Streptophyta; Magnoliopsida; Malvales; Malvaceae
Source: Rfam
UAUUAAAAGUUUCAUCCAUUUUUACUUUUAAAAACUGGCUUAGCUGACAAAAUAACCAAACAGUUACACGUUGUGUGCCACUUGUACCUCCUUUUGACGUACAAGGACCAAUUUUUUGCAGUAGAAAUCAAUAGAAUUUUUAACA